GCUGGAGCGGCUUCCGGCAGCGCUAGGGUGGUGUGGCUGGCCUCCCUGACGUGAAGGCUUGUGAGAGUAAAUAUCAAGCUCCAUGAAUGUGCUAUCAUGGGUCUCCAACGUGUUUCUGAGGAUUUAUUGAUUUGAGG
Molecule: non-coding RNA, 137 nt
Organism: Microcebus murinus (gray mouse lemur)
Lineage: Eukaryota; Metazoa; Chordata; Mammalia; Primates; Cheirogaleidae
Source: RefSeq, a predicted model, not a curated record